Molecule: long non-coding RNA, 212 nt
Filed under: Elaeis guineensis (African oil palm)
Lineage: Eukaryota; Viridiplantae; Streptophyta; Magnoliopsida; Arecales; Arecaceae
Description: long non-coding RNA (EGUI_LNC069120)
Source: RNAcentral
UCUAUCACAUGGAUUACUCAGAUCCAGAUUUUACUAAAUUGAAAUAUAUUGAUACAUUAACUCCUACUAAUUUAGAGGGAUCAAUCAUAUUUUGACUCACAGACUGACUUGACAAGUACUUGACUGCACCUAAAAAUCUUUCAUUAUUGAAUUAGAAAUUUAGUUAGUCCGACAUCAAAGUAUAGUGAGUUGCUUGCAAGUCACCAUGGUGA